UAUGAGUGACCGCAUUUACCCAUAUUUGGGUGAAAAAACAAACAUAACAAAUUCGACUUGAUAGCCACCGUUCGCAGUAGUUUUCUCUGUUUAAUCCUCGAUUCAGUUCGACCAAUAUUUGUGUAAUUCCGAGUGCAGUUCUAGAUGUGAGCUUCUCCUGGAACUUCUCCAAAAUCUUAACCAGUUCCGAUCAGUCUGAGCAGCUGUCGGAUAUCGACCUCGCAAGUGUUCUUUUGCGAGAAACAGGUCUAGCUCCCGAGCCAUUGGUGGAAAACUUCUAGCAGCUGCGAGUCUCUGACCCCGGAUUAGGUCAUUCUUGAGAGCUACCAUCAGUGCUACGGAAUCGAUCCGCCAGCAACCAUCGUAUUUUCCCACUAAAAACUCCGCGGAUGUCCCAAGAAAGUUCCAGAUUCCCAAAUACAGGACCCCAUUGCGCAGGAACUAACCAAAGCGGGCGUGAGAAAUCAUUUCCGGACAACUCCAAUGUGAAGAUCUCGAUGUUUAAUUUGCAUGCUGCCUCGUCAUGUCACUCCCGAAAGUUGCUGAUAAGAAGAACAGGUCGGAAAAAGGAAAAAAGAAAAAUUCAGUCGGAUCGUUCAAGACAGGAGCAUCACCAGAGAGAAAUGAAACGUACACCAAGGAGGAGUUAUUCUUUUUGUUGCACCAAGAGCUGCUGUUUGAUGUUGCUGCUCAAGCAACAUACGAAUUGCAGAUUUUUGAUUAGGUUGAUCUCGAUGCGGUUAGUCACGACGUUUCAUCAAUCGAUCCAACAACAUCAGUUAUCUUCUACAGAUAUCAUUCCGCACAGCUAACAUGUGAUCCGGUGCUUGCUGCGAUUGAUGUUUCCUCCCUGCCUCUCUUCCCCCCUGAUGAGCAGCUGAGGGAUGUUCCGGUUCGUCUGGAAUUGCUACCAUAACCGAAUGGCAUGACAUAAAUUAAAUCUCCUGUAGUUGCUUGUAUUACAGUUGUUCGUUUACAAACGAAUGAUUAUUUUUUAUUAUUCUUAAUUUUAUCAUCCUUUCCCAUCGAUGUGUUAUUCAUAGUAUUAAGUCCAUUUGUCUGUGAAUCAAAAUGUAAUCCCUUCCUUCCUUCCCCAAUCCCUCAAUCAUUCAAUCAUGAUAACGGUCAUUAUUACACGAUCACAGUAGCCUCCUCCCAACCAAACACAAUGUUCCUUUUUGUUAUUUUUGUUUGUUGUUCCUUCGAAUAUGGGAGGAGCUAAGUCACGCAAAUAAGCUGUUGCAUCACAGAAAAUAUGUGUAUAAAAAAGAAGCACGUCGCGCAGAGCGAUUCAUUGUUUUUGUAUAUUUCAAACGAAGA
Long non-coding RNA from Armigeres subalbatus, 1320 nucleotides. RefSeq lists it as uncharacterized. NCBI's taxonomy places the organism in Eukaryota, Metazoa, Arthropoda, Insecta, Diptera, Culicidae. The record is from RefSeq and is a predicted model, not a curated record. The transcript is spliced from 3 exons.